RNAcentral lists this long non-coding RNA (1346 nucleotides) under Canis lupus familiaris (dog). RNAcentral describes it as "lncRNA (ENSCAFG00000051434.1)". The record is from RNAcentral. Lineage: Eukaryota; Metazoa; Chordata; Mammalia; Carnivora; Canidae.
AUGACCCCGGGCUUCCCGGGCGUCAACCAGAUCCACUACUGCCUGCACUCUAACUCUUCUAGAAUCUUUUCCCAGUGGAAAACCUACUUACCUCUCUGCAAUCCCACAUCAAGAGCAUCCGCCGGCAGCCUUAGCACUUUGAGAAAUUUUGAAGUGGAGAUGGGUGAAGCUGGAAAGAGUCUGACCAGAAAUAUCAGUCCAUGGGAUGCCUGGGUGGCUCAGCAGUUGAGUGUCUGCCUUUGGCUCAGGGAAGGAUCCCUGUCCGGUGAUGGAGUCCUGCAUCAGACUCCCUGCAUGGAGCCUGCUUCUUCCUCUCCCUGUGUCUCUGCCUCUCUCUCUCUGUGUGUAUCUCUCGUGAAUAAAUAGACUUUAAAAAAAAAAAAAAAAAAAGAAGAAGAAGAAGAAGAAAAGAAAAGAAAUAUCAGUCCACAAUGGAUUGGAAAUUCUAAAAACCGGUCCUUCAGGAGCACUUGGGUAGCUCAGUCAGCUUAGCAUGUACCUUCAGCUUAGGUCAUGAUCCCAGUGUUCUGGGAUCAAGGGAUUGGGCUCCUUGCUAAGCUGAGAGACUGCUGCUCCCUCUCCCUCUGACUGCCCCUCCCCCUGCUUUCUCUCUUUCUGUCAAAUAAAUAAAUAAAAUCUUUAAAUAAAUAAGUAAGAAAUUAAAAACUAAUCCUUCACCCCAGAUAAUUUGACAAGCAUUGGUCUGAAGUCCAUCUCCCCUUGCCUACUUCUGCACAUUCUCACACACAAAAUGUACACAUGGUGAAGAAAAAGGUUAAAAACGCUUUUGCGGAACUAUGUUAAUUACAAUGUGAAAAAAGUUGAGUGACAUGGAAAAAUUAUCCUGACAUAUGUAGAAAAAAAGCAGAUUACAGAAAACAAUGUAAAGUAUAACCUUGAAUUUGCAAAAUGGAUUUAUGAAUAGCAGAAUAUGGAGGGUGGUAUCUCUAGCAUAGAGUAUCAGGUUAAUAUCUGAAGAAUAAAUGGUGGAGCUUUUUUUUUUCAUUUCCUUUUUUCAGCUUAACUAUAUUUUCCACAAUGGACAUAUAAUAUUUUGUAAUGUAAAAAUCUAAUGCAUAGUAUCACCUUUUAUUUGGAAGUUUACUGAAAGGGAAAAUUAAGACCAUGCUCUGUUUUGGUCUUUGCCUUCAUGGUUCCAUUCAGUUUAGAUUGUUGGUUAAUAAUUAAUUUUUCUAUAAAGGAAAGGAAUAAUAUUGCUUCAAAUAAUACUUGUUUAAAAAGCAAGUUUCAGUUGUUUUAAUCCAACAGAAUAUUUUCCUAUUUUUUACAAAUAAAAUAUCUGAAAAAUUUGCAACUGAACUUCUGCUUCUGGAUCAUAAAUGGUG